GUCCAUUCAAAUCUCCACUAAUGAAAACAUUCUCUUCAUUCGGUAUGCUUUGCAUUAAAUCAUCCAUAUCUUCCCAAAACCUUUGUUUACUCUCACUGUCUAGUCCUAUUUGUGGGGCAUAAGCACUAACUAUAUUUAUUGUUUCUCCUUCUAGUACUAGCUUUACUAGUAUAAUUCUAUCUCCUACUCUUUUCACAGCUACUACUGCGCCUUUCAAUGUCCUGUCUAUGAUUAUACCCACUCCGUUCUUGUUUCUCUCCUUUCCGGUAAACCACAAUUUGUAACCUGAAUUACCCACUUCCUUACUUUUCUCUCCUACCCAUUUAGUCUCCUGAAUGCAAGCAAUAU
RNAcentral lists this unclassified non-coding RNA (348 nucleotides) under Hevea brasiliensis (rubber tree). Lineage: Eukaryota; Viridiplantae; Streptophyta; Magnoliopsida; Malpighiales; Euphorbiaceae. The record is from RNAcentral.